This 991-nucleotide unclassified non-coding RNA is filed under the name Hevea brasiliensis (rubber tree). Lineage: Eukaryota; Viridiplantae; Streptophyta; Magnoliopsida; Malpighiales; Euphorbiaceae. The record is from RNAcentral.
UUCGUUGAUAACAGUGAGAUAGAGAGAGAAACAAGAAAAAUAUCAUAGAAAAAACAGUAUUACAAGGGGGAAAAAGUACACACAAAGAGGAAUAGAGGAGCGUCUUCUGUUGAAAAUGGUGGAUUUACACUCAGGUGUAACAGAAGUACUGUAAAGGUUGGAUUUUGGUAAAGUUGAAAGGGUUUUUUUUUGGUUGACUGGUAGAGUUGAAAUUUGGGGAAAAAUAAAUGGCUGGUGACAAUGACGAAGGUCAUAGUGAUAUGGUCCAGAGACUUCAAUCAUCAUUUGGGACAUCAUCGUCUUCACUUCCUAAACAGCUUCAACCUAUUUCGAUGAACCAAUUGGACAUACCCCAGUUGACAACUUCUCAAUUUAGGGGUCAAAUGAGGCAAUUUUCUCCCAAUUUUGGUGUUGAAAAUAGUAAAAGAGUAGGUAUACCGCCUUCUCACCCGCAAAUGCCCCCUAUUUCACCAUAUUCUCAGAUCCCUGUAACCAGGCCAGGGAAUCAGCAAAUGGGUAUGCAGAACUUUACUAGUGCAGGGCCAUCACACUCGCGAUCUUUAUCACAACCAGCGUUUUUCUCACUGGAUUCCUUGCCACCCUUGAGCCCUUCACCGUAUAGGGAAUCCCCGUCCACGUCUAUGUCUGACCCGAUAUCUGCUGAUGUCUCAAUGGGUGAUCAGGAUGGCAAUUCACAUUCUUUAUUGCCGCCUACGCCUUUCUCUAGGUGUAAUUCAUCGAGGGCAGGGGAGAGUCUUCCUCCUCGUAAGGCUCAUAGGAGGUCUAAUAGUGAUAUACCAUUCGGCUUUUCUGGUAUAAUGCAGUCAUCACCACCACUUGUUCCGCUAAGGAGUCCUGGUGCUCUUGAAAGGUCAGUUCCUUCAAGGGAUAAUUUGGGUGGUAAACCAGUUCAGUUGGUUAAACGUGAAUCUAUGUGGGAAAGAGGAAAUGAUAAUAACAAUGUUGAAGGGAUGGGUGAGAGGAAAUCUGA